AUACUUACUUGGCAGUGGAGAUACCAUGAUCACGAAAGUGGUUUUCCCGGAGCGAGACUUAUUUUUUGCACUUGGGAUGUACUGACCUUUGCGAUUUCCCGAAGUGGGGGAAACUCGACUGCAUAAUUUGUGGUAGUGGGAGACUGCGUUCGCGCUUUCACCUG
Small nuclear RNA from Nomascus leucogenys (northern white-cheeked gibbon), 164 nucleotides. Its record names the gene U1. It matches the Rfam family "U1 spliceosomal RNA". From Rfam's summary of the family: U1 is a small nuclear RNA (snRNA) component of the spliceosome (involved in pre-mRNA splicing). Its 5' end forms complementary base pairs with the 5' splice junction, thus defining the 5' donor site of an intron. NCBI's taxonomy places the organism in Eukaryota, Metazoa, Chordata, Mammalia, Primates, Hylobatidae. The record is from Ensembl.